AUAAUUUAUAUAUUAAAAAUAAUUUUUAUUAUAUAAAAAAUAUUUAUCUUAUUAUGAAGAUAAAUAUUUGUUAACAUAUCUAACUAAG
This 88-nucleotide microRNA precursor is filed under the name Cajanus cajan (pigeon pea). RNAcentral describes it as "miRNA gene-KK1_050632". The record is from RNAcentral. Lineage: Eukaryota; Viridiplantae; Streptophyta; Magnoliopsida; Fabales; Fabaceae.